UGGACAGAUUAUUGUAUUCGACUGUAUUCACGGCGUGAAACAGGGGAUUACGCUGUUUUUAAACGGAGUGAAUCAAUUAACAUAAUAGACUCCU
MicroRNA precursor from Nicotiana attenuata, 94 nucleotides. It matches the Rfam family "MIR6152 microRNA precursor family". The record is from Rfam. Lineage: Eukaryota; Viridiplantae; Streptophyta; Magnoliopsida; Solanales; Solanaceae.